Molecule: transfer RNA, 69 nt
Filed under: Marmota monax (woodchuck)
Lineage: Eukaryota; Metazoa; Chordata; Mammalia; Rodentia; Sciuridae
Rfam family: tRNA
About the family: Transfer RNA (tRNA) molecules are approximately 80 nucleotides in length. Their secondary structure includes four short double-helical elements and three loops (D, anti-codon, and T loops).
Source: Rfam by way of RNAcentral
GGAGCUGUGGUUCAGAGGUAGAGCGCUCGCCUAGCAUGCGUGAGGCACUCGGUUCAAUCCUCAGCACCA